UAACCACUGCUGCUGCCCCGGUGAUUCUGGGAGCUGUGGGAUUUACCAGUGCUGGAAUAGCAGGAGGCUCCAUUGCAGCAAGUAUGAUGUCUUCAGCAGCUAUCGCCAAUGGGGGAGGAGUAGCUGCUGGAAGUCUGGUGGCCCUCCUUCAAUCUGCUGGGGCGGCUGGAAUCCCAGUAGCUGCCAAACUUGGACUGGGAGCUGCAGGUGCUUUCACUGGUGCACUUUUCUAACAUUCGAAAAUAAAAAUGCCUCAAGACAACGGAAAAUAAAUAAUUUUUAUUCUGAAUCAGAGGAGGGAAAAGGCAACUGAAGCCUGAUGCUGAAAUUCAAUAAAAGCUCUGCAUAAUCGAA
Molecule: long non-coding RNA, 354 nt
Organism: Hemiscyllium ocellatum (epaulette shark)
Lineage: Eukaryota; Metazoa; Chordata; Chondrichthyes; Orectolobiformes; Hemiscylliidae
Exons: 2
Source: RefSeq, a predicted model, not a curated record